UGGGGAAUAUUGGACAAUGGGCGAAAGCCUGAUCCAGCAAUGCCGCGUGAGUGAUGAAGGCCUUAGGGUUGUAAAGCUCUUUUACCCGGGAUGAUAAUGACAGUACCGGGAGAAUAAGCUCCGGCUAACUCCGUGCCAGCAGCCGCGGUAAUACGGAGGGAGCUAGCGUUAUUCGGAAUUACUGGGCGUAAAGCGCACGUAGGCGGCUUUGUAAGUUAGAGGUGAAAGCCUGGAGCUCAACUCCAGAAUUGCCUUUAAGACUGCAUCGCUUGAAUCCAGGAGAGGUGAGUGGAAUUCCGAGUGUAGAGGUGAAAUUCGUAGAUAUUCGGAAGAACACCAGUGGCGAAGGCGGCUCACUGGACUGGUAUUGACGCUGAGGUGCGAAAGCGUGGGGAGCAAA
This 400-nucleotide ribosomal RNA is filed under the name uncultured bacterium. RNAcentral's name for it is "bacterial SSU rRNA". It matches the Rfam family "Bacterial small subunit ribosomal RNA", at positions 355 to 772 of the family's 1533-position model. The record is from RNAcentral.